GAUGAACGCUGGCGGCGUGCCUAUUACAUGCAAGUCGAGCGAACAGACGAGGAGCUUGCUCCUCUGACGUUAGCGGCGGACGGGUGAGUAACACGUGGAUAACCUACCUAUAAGACUGGGAUAACUUCGGGAAACCGGAGCUAAUACCGGAUAAUAUAUUGAACCGCAUGGUUCAAUAGUGAAAGACGGUUUUGCUGUCACUUAUAGAUGGAUCCGCGCCGCAUUAGCUAGUUGGUAAGGUAACGGCUUACCAAGGCAACGAUGCGUAGCCGACCUGAGAGGGGGAUCGGCCACACUGGAACUGAGACACGGUCCAGACUCCUACGGGAGGCAGCAGUAGGGAAUCUUCCGCAAUGGGCGAAAGCCUGACGGAGCAACGCCGCGUGAGUGAUGAAGGUCUUCGGAUCGUAAAACUCUGUUAUUAGGGAAGAACAAAUGUGUAAGUAACUAUGCACGUCUUGACGGUACCUAAUCAGAAAGCCACGGCUAACUACGUG
Molecule: ribosomal RNA, 497 nt
Filed under: uncultured bacterium
Lineage: Bacteria
Description: partial 16S ribosomal RNA
Rfam family: Bacterial small subunit ribosomal RNA
Source: RNAcentral